RNAcentral lists this ribosomal RNA (319 nucleotides) under uncultured archaeon. RNAcentral's name for it is "bacterial SSU rRNA". It matches the Rfam family "Archaeal small subunit ribosomal RNA", at positions 61 to 372 of the family's 1478-position model. The record is from RNAcentral.
GCUUCUUCUUCGGAAGAAGUAACCCGGCGGACGGCUCAGUAACACGUGGAUAACUUGCCCUUGGGUCUGGGAUAACCCCUGAGAAAUUGGGGACAAUACCGGAUAGGGCAUCGAUAGCUGGAAUGCGCGAUGUCCAAAAGCUGAGGCGCCCAAGGAUAGGUCUGCGGCCGAUUAGGUUGUUGUUGAUGUAAUGGAUCAACAAGCCUGCAAUCGGUACGGGUUGUGAGAGCAAGAGCCCGGAGAUGGGUUCUGAGAAAAGAACCCAGGUCCUACGGGACGCAUCAGGCGCGAAAACUUUACAAUGUGCGAAAGCACGAUA